This 484-nucleotide ribosomal RNA is filed under the name uncultured bacterium. Its description in RNAcentral is "partial 16S ribosomal RNA". It matches the Rfam family "Bacterial small subunit ribosomal RNA", at positions 29 to 523 of the family's 1533-position model. The record is from RNAcentral.
AGUGAACGCUGGCGGCGUGCUUAACACAUGCAAGUCGAACGAGAACGGGCUAUAGCUUGCUAUAGUUGUCAGCUAAGUGGCGCACGGGUGAGUAAUGUAUAGGUAAUAUGCCUCUUACUAAGGGAUAACAAAUGGAAACGUUUGCUAAUACCUUAUACUCCUUUUAAACAGAAGUUUAAAAGGGAAAGAUUUAUUGGUAAGAGAUUAGCCUGUAUUGUAUCAGUUAGUUGGUGGGGUAAUGGCUUACCAAGACUAUGACACAUAACUGGUUUGAGAGGAUGUUCAGUCACACUGGAACUGAGACACGGUCCAGACUCCUACGGGAGGCAGCAGUGGGGAAUAUUGCACAAUGGACGAAAGUCUGAUGCAGCAACGCCGCGUGUAGGAUGACACAUUUCGGUGCGUAAACUCCUUUUAUAUGAGAAGAUAAUGACGGUAUUAUAUGAAUAAGCACCGGCUAACUCCGUGCCAGCCGCCGCAGUAA